GCGCGAAAACUUUACAAUGCUGGCAACAGCGAUAAGGGAACCCCGAGUGCCAGGUUACAAAUCUGGCUGUCGAGAUGCCUAAAAAGCAUUUCAUAGCAAGGGCCGGGCAAGACCGGUGCCAGCCGCUGCGGUAACACCGGCGGCUCGAGUGGUAACCGUUAUUAUUGGGUCUAAAGGGUCUGUAGCCGGCCGGAUAAGUCUCUUGGGAAAUCUGGCAGCUCAACUGUCAGGCUUUCAGGAGAUACUGUCUGGCUCGAGGCCGGGAGAGGUGAGAGGUACUUCAGGGGUAGGGGUGAAAUCUUGUAAUCCUUGAAGGACCACCAGUGGCGAAGGCGUCUCACCAGAACGGACCUGACGGCAAGGGACGAAAGCUAGGGGCACAAACCG
This 387-nucleotide ribosomal RNA is filed under the name uncultured bacterium. RNAcentral's name for it is "bacterial SSU rRNA". It matches the Rfam family "Archaeal small subunit ribosomal RNA", at positions 339 to 726 of the family's 1478-position model. The record is from RNAcentral.